RNAcentral lists this transfer RNA (68 nucleotides) under Coleophora therinella. RNAcentral describes it as "tRNA-Val". Lineage: Eukaryota; Metazoa; Arthropoda; Insecta; Lepidoptera; Coleophoridae. The record is from RNAcentral.
CAAAUUAGAGCUUGAUUAAGUAUUUCAUUUACAUUGAAAAGAAAUUGAUUAUAAAUCAUUUAAUUUGA